Molecule: long non-coding RNA, 732 nt
Organism: Cloeon dipterum
Lineage: Eukaryota; Metazoa; Arthropoda; Insecta; Ephemeroptera; Baetidae
Exons: 2
Source: RefSeq, a predicted model, not a curated record
GGAGGAGGCGGCGGUGGAGGCGGUGGCGGAGGAGGUGGAGGAGGUGGAGGCGGCGGUGGCGGCGAUUGCAGUUCCUCUCCCUCUCCCACUCAGGCCCCUACAUCUACGACCACGACGACCCAAUGCCCCACAACAGCACCCCCGUGCCCAACCACUGAGGAGCCCAGCACAACCGAAGAGCCCUGGACGACUGAAGAACCAACCACGACCGAUGAGCCCAUCACGACCGAUGAGCCCAUCACGACCGAUGAGCCCAUCACGACCGAAAGGGUGACCCCCGCUCCCCCUGAGGAGCCGACCACCGAGAGGGUGACCCCUGCACCCCCGACCGAGGCGACAACCGAGAGGGUGACUGCCGCUCCGGAACCCGAACCGACGACCGAAAGGGUUACGGCCGCGCCUGAACCCGAACCGACGACCGAGAGGGUGACUGCGGCUCCCGCGGAGCCUGUCACCACCGAAAGGGUCCCCCCGUUUGAGUAAACCCUUUUAACCGUGAGCGGCUGGAGAUCCACCAUGUUUGUAAUCCUCGCGCCUUUUGCACUCUUUGAUCUUUUUCUAUUGUGUUCUAUUUAAAUGUCUACUCGUUUUCUUUUCUACGACAUCUUCCAACCUAUGUGAUGCAAAAUAAAUGUUCAAACGCUCUUCAAAAAGGGUAUUUCAUUAUUGAGGAGUAUAAGUUAUUGUAUAGUAUUAAGAAUCGCUGAAAUAAAAUUUAUAAAAACCCUCAAA